UCGGGAAUAUUGCGCAAUGGAGGAAACUCUGACGCAGUGACGCCGCGUAUAGGAAGAAGGUCUUCGGAUUGUAAACUAUUGUCGUUAGGGAAGAAAAAGGACAGUACCUAAGGAGGAAGCUCCCGGCUAACUACGUGCC
Molecule: ribosomal RNA, 139 nt
Filed under: uncultured bacterium
Lineage: Bacteria
Description: partial 16S ribosomal RNA
Rfam family: Bacterial small subunit ribosomal RNA
Source: RNAcentral